RNAcentral lists this ribosomal RNA (329 nucleotides) under Glomus sp. RNAcentral's name for it is "partial large subunit ribosomal RNA". The record is from RNAcentral. Lineage: Eukaryota; Fungi; Glomeromycota; Glomeromycetes; Glomerales; Glomeraceae.
CAGUCAUACCGGCGGGUAAUCAGCCUUUCGGGUGCGAUUCUGUGGAGUGUGAGGAGCUAAUCGCCUUCAUGCCUGUAUAUUCGUGUACUUGGGGUGUACUUAUUCGUGAGGUAGGUUAACAUCAAUUUUGGUCGUCAUAAAAUGAUCGGAGGAAUGUAGCUUCGAUCUUGUAUUGAAGUGUUAUAGCCUUCGGUAGAUGUGAUGAUUGGGAUUGAGGAUUGCAACGGAUACCCUUCGGGGCUACCUGUCUGAUCUCUGAAAGUUGCUCUGGUGCCGAAAGCUUGCUUACGGUAUCAAAGUUGACGUUCAACAGGUUAGAACGGGAUAAA